This is a non-coding RNA of Anolis carolinensis (green anole), 347 nucleotides long. It matches the Rfam family "7SK RNA". Rfam says of the family: 7SK was discovered as an abundant small nuclear RNA in the mid-70s but a possible function has only recently been suggested. Two independent studies have found that 7SK RNA binds the CDK9/cyclin T complex (known as elongation factor P-TEFb). P-TEFb activates transcription by phosphorylating the C-terminal domain of RNA polymerase II. The record is from Rfam. Lineage: Eukaryota; Metazoa; Chordata; Lepidosauria; Squamata; Anolidae.
UGUGAAGGCGAUCUGGCUGUGACAUCUGUGAUUCCAUUGAUCGCCAGGGUUGAUUUGGCUGAUCUGGCUGGCUAGGUGGGUGUCCCCUUUCUCCCUCACUACUCCAUGUGUAUCCCUCCCGAAGCUGUGCACUUGGUGGAAAAGGAUGACGUCUCGGGUACUGGAGUGUACCGGGGUCUCCGGUUUUCAGUCCUGGGUAUAUGAUAGCUGUGCUCCCCUGCUAGAACCUCCAAACAAGCUCACACUUUCCCAAAUAUGUGAAUAAAGUAUAAAACGGAGCAAGCAAACCAUCUAUGGAAGGUAGUUCAAAUUUAGAAAACAUCUAUUGUGGUUGUGUACCUUCAAGU